RNAcentral lists this ribosomal RNA (449 nucleotides) under uncultured bacterium. RNAcentral's name for it is "bacterial SSU rRNA". It matches the Rfam family "Bacterial small subunit ribosomal RNA", at positions 329 to 794 of the family's 1533-position model. The record is from RNAcentral.
GCCCAGACUCCUACGGGAGGCAGCAGUGGGGAAUAUUGCACAAUGGGGGAAACCCUGAUGCAGCGACGCCGCGUGAGUGAAGAAGUAUUUCGGUAUGUAAAGCUCUAUCAGCAGGGAAGAAGAAUGACGGUACCUGAAGAAUAAGCUCCGGCUAACUACGUGCCAGCAGCCGCGGUAAUACGUAGGGAGCAAGCGUUAUCCGGAUUUACUGGGUGUAAAGGGCGUGUAGGCGGGCCUGCAAGUCAGAAGUGAAAUCUGGGGGCUUAACCCCCAAACUGCUUUUGAAACUGUGGGUCUUGAGUGAUGGAGAGGCAGGCGGAAUUCCCAGUGUAGCGGUGAAAUGCGUAGAUAUUAGGAGGAACACCAGUGGCGAAGGCGGCUUACUGGACUGUAACUGACGUUGAGGCUCGAAAGCGUGGGGAGCAAACAGGAUUAGAUACCCCCGUAGU